Molecule: ribosomal RNA, 500 nt
Filed under: Sphaerisporangium sp.
Lineage: Bacteria; Bacillati; Actinomycetota; Actinomycetes; Streptosporangiales; Streptosporangiaceae
Description: bacterial SSU rRNA
Rfam family: Bacterial small subunit ribosomal RNA
Source: RNAcentral
UCAGCUUGUUGGUGGGGUAGUGGCCUACCAAGGCGACGACGGGUAGCCGGCCUGAGAGGGCGACCGGCCACACUGGGACUGARACACGGCCCAGACUCCUACGGGAGGCAGCAGUGGGGAAUAUUGCGCAAUGGGCGGAAGCCUGACGCAGCGACGCCGCGUGGGGGAUGACGGCCUUCGGGUUGUAAACCUCUUUCAGCAGGGACGAAGUUGACGUGUACCUGCAGAAGAAGCGCCGGCUAACUACGUGCCAGCAGCCGCGGUAAUACGUAGGGCGCAAGCGUUGUCCGGAAUUAUUGGGCGUAAAGAGCUCGUAGGUGGCUUGUCGCGUCUGCCGUGAAAGCCCAUGGCUUAACUGUGGGUCUGCGGUGGAUACGGGCUGGCUAGAGGUAGGUAGGGGCAAGCGGAAUUCCUGGUGUAGCGGUGAAAUGCGCAGAUAUCAGGAGGAACACCGGUGGCGAAGGCGGCUUGCUGGGCCUUACCUGACGCUGAGGAGCGAA